RNAcentral lists this long non-coding RNA (256 nucleotides) under Nicotiana benthamiana. RNAcentral describes it as "long non-coding RNA (NBEN_LNC017170)". Lineage: Eukaryota; Viridiplantae; Streptophyta; Magnoliopsida; Solanales; Solanaceae. The record is from RNAcentral.
UAUUCUUUAACUUCCUUCUGUUUGUACCUUUUAUUUACACCCCUUAUAUUCCAAAAUAACCACUUCAUUGGCCAUAGCUGGUUCCCCCUUCAUCUAGGGGUUGAUCUUCCCAACUCACUAUUCCAACUUCAAAUCUAUUAGACAUCACAAUAGGAGAUAAUGGUGGAAAGUUUGUGAUGUUAAAGACUGGAGACAUCUGUGUAGAAACACCCUUCUACUUAUUCAACUGCUCAUCUACACCAUCCUGAGAACUUGG